This 119-nucleotide non-coding RNA is filed under the name Burkholderia pyrrocinia. The record is from RNAcentral. Lineage: Bacteria; Pseudomonadati; Pseudomonadota; Betaproteobacteria; Burkholderiales; Burkholderiaceae. RNAcentral also lists the same sequence under 2 other names.
GGGAGAAGGCCUCCCGAAGUCGGCUUUCAGGAGCAGGCUUCAAAUCGCCCGGUACUGCUGUGUCCAAAAGGCGCGGUGGUGAGCGAUCGUGGAAAAGUCAUCCGGAGAGGGUGGCAGGU